RNA transcript from Conger conger (European conger), 6205 nucleotides. It is a transcript of the gene named protein FAM222B-like, with no coding region annotated. The record is from RefSeq and is a predicted model, not a curated record. The transcript is spliced from 4 exons. NCBI's taxonomy places the organism in Eukaryota, Metazoa, Chordata, Actinopteri, Anguilliformes, Congridae.
CAACUGAGCAUGCGCCAGAAGUUGGUGCCGCAGAAAGCAGCGGUGAUUCGGCAAAGCACCGUUACUAAACCGAAAAUACUGGUGUUUUUAGUUGAUCAUAACGAUGUUUUAAACCAUGCCUUUUGUUCGAGUUUGUGGAGAUGUGUCGAGGAGAGGCUGCCCUAUGCUGCAUUAGUGCCUGUGUGAAAUGCUGGCCUGUCUGCCAGUAACAGGUGACCUUUCCCUCCGGCUUCUCUCCCACACGCAGAUGAACACUGGACUUCAGAAAUGGGACACUACACAGAAAAUGAGAUCUGCACAGUAUCCAACCCCAGCGGAACUGGAUGCCUAUGCUAAGAAAGUUGCCAACAGCCCGCUGACGAUAAAGAUCUUCCCAAACAGCGUCAAGGUUCCCCAGCGGAAGCACGUGCGCCGCACCGUCAACGGCCUGGACACGUCCAGCCAGCGCUACAGCCCGUACCCCGCCCCGGCCAGCGCCAGGGCCGGCCUGCUCGCCGUCGUCAAGGGCCCCCUCAAAGGGAUCCUCAAAGGCUUCGAGGGCGGCCGGGCGCGUCUGCUCUCCGAGGUCGCCAUGAACCCCCCCUCCGGGCCCUACGGCUCCCAGAGCACUUUAAACCUCCCCCAGACUGUCCCCCACCCCCAGGGCCUCCCCCGGGGCCGUGCCCUCCCCCCGCAGCAGGGCCUGGGGCACCCGCAGAGCCUGCAGCAGCAGCAGCAGGGCCUGUCCCAUCCCCAGAGUCUGCAGCAGCAGCAGCAGCAGCAGCAGCAGCAGCAGCAGCAGGGCCUGUCCUGUGCCCAGACCUUACACCAGCAGCAGCAGCAACAGCUGCAGCGCCAACAGACCCUGCAGCAAACGCUGCAGCAGCAUCAACAAAAGCUGCAGCAACAGGCGCUGCAGCAGCAGCAAACGAUGCAGCAGCAAACGAUGCAGCAGCAGCAGACGAUGCAGCAACAGCAAUCGUUGCAACAGCAGUCAAUGCAGCAACAACAAUCGUUGCAGCAGCAGUCAAUGCAGCAGCAGCAAACGAUGCAGCAGCAGGCUCUGCAGCGCCAACAGACUUUGCAGCAGCAGCAGCAGCAGCAGCAGCAGCAGCAGCAGACACUGCAGCAGCUGCAGGCGGGCCUGCCCCACCCGCAGACGUUACAGCAGCCGCCGGCUCCGCAGGGCCCCAGGCACCUCCCCGGCAUGGCCCAGCACCCGCAGGCCGCGGCCCAAGCACAGAGCCUCCAGCACCCCGCCGGCCUGGGCCCCCUGCCCCCCGGCGUCCUGCACGGCCCCAGGAAGCUGGCGGACGGCGACGCCCCGCCCAACGUGACCGUGUCUACCUCCACCAUCCCGCUGUCCAUGGCGGCGGGGCGGCAGCAGGGCCGGCGGGCGGACCUGAGCAGCAUCGUGCUGCAGAUCAGCCAGUUCUGCCAGCCGCGGGCCGGCGCCAGCGCUACCUCAGUGUGCGAGGGGCAGAUCGCCAACCCCAGCCCCAUCAACCGCAACCUGCUCAUCAACGCCAGCUCCCGCGUGUCCGCCCAGCACCCCGGCGCCCUGCCGGCCUGCGCCCUGGGCCCCGCCGACAAGCCGCCCGCCGCCGCCAACCGCAUGCCCGUCUACCACCCUGACGUGAAGCAGCAGCGGGGCUGGACCCAGCACCACCUCGCCCACCUGCAGCAGCACCUCUCCGAGGAGGGCCACCCCUGCGCCCGGCUGCCCGUGAGCUUCCCCCCGCAGGACCCGUGCGCCGGCCAGCCCUACAGCCUCAAGCCCCCGGCCGAGAAGCCCACGCCCUCCCCGCCCGUCAACGGCAUGCCGCCGGGGGUGGUGCCCUACGGCAACGGGCACUACUUCCAGCCCGUGUGGAACGGCGUCCUGCCCACGCCCAACAGCGACGGCUCCGGCUCCCAGGACCUGGCCAUGCCGUUCCACGGGGGCCCACCGGGGGGCGCUGUGGACUGCGGCCCGGGACCCCAGUACAGGGCCGGCGCCGGCUCCUCUGGCCAGACUAACGUGAUGCAGAGCAUGGAGUACAUGGGCGGGGAGUACCAGCCGCCCUGCUUCCGAGACCAGAGCCUGGGCAUGCACAGGCCCCCUAUGGGCAGAGCUCCAGAGCCGGGAGACGCUAGAAAUACUCAUAUUCAGGUUCCAGGGUACAGAUAAGCUACAAUUUUUUGUGUGUACACUUAUCGAUCUUUUAGUCUUAAGAAAUACAUAAAAAUGAAUGAAUUAAAAUGAAGCUAACUUAAAAAUGAAAAAAAAAGUAUAUAUAUACAUAUCUAUAUAUAUUUAAGAGCAAGCAGUGUUUUCGUUGUUGUCAAUCUUGCAAGUGAUCAAUUGAAACGUUUUCUAAAUAACGACGCUCCUUAAUAUUACUUGCUUGGUAGAGAAACGAGCCGUUUUCUCCUGCGUUUUAAAUCGGCUUCAUUUCCCAUUUUUUCUCGCCGUCUAUCAUCCAUGUUAUAGUGCACCCGCGUCCGUUUCCAUUUCAUUUGGCUUCCAAGCUAGGAGCAGCUGGAAGUGUAUUAAUCCUGGUGGUGGUGGUGGUAUUAUUAUUAUUAUUAUUAUUAUUAUUAUUAUUAUUAUUUUGUCACGACACGUUUUUGCACAGAUGCGUAACUGCUCAGUGCUGUUGGUGUUCUCCUGCCAUGCGGGCCCAUGAAGCUCCGUCUGUAUCUGCUGUUGUUGACGGUGGCACAAGCCCUAUUCGGCACCGUCUCCCACCGACACGCCUUUUCCUAGUCCUCACCCGCGCUGAACCAGCCAAAAACGUCUCCUGACCGUUCAGCGCGACUGCCUCACCCAAACGCAAUUUGCCAAAGCUUUUCCACCCCAGUAUGAAUUUAUACACUGAGAAUAUUGCUGGACCUCAAAUCGACUUUGCAUAGGUUAACCAGGCAAUAAAACGGACGCAGACGUGAGCGUUGGGCAGGGUGUCUGCCCUUCCACACAAGAUAUCCUAUUGUUGCAGUCGUUUUUAGCGGCAUUGGUGUGCGCUGAUAAGGACGUUGUCCGCACUUGAAAUGUCAUGUUAUCAUUUAAAUUCAGCCGUUACUUAAAAUGAAACGUAGCAUAUACUGAUGUGAACUUUAAGCAGUUGGUCAUGGUUAUAAAAAGAAAUAUAUACAUAUAUUAUAUACAUGCAUGGCCAUGUUCUAUCCUCAGACAGUGGUCCUUCAUAAAUCCUUUUGAUUGUGUUAGUUGUACCUGCCACACAAUAACAUGUCGUAUUUUGCUUUGAAUUCCACCUUAGUGAGUUCAGAAAAUGUGUGCUCUCAACCAGUAGUUUUGCUGAAAUAUACCGUUAGAAUUGUGUUUUUAUGAGGGGGAAUGAGCCAAGAGAUGCAUAAAAUGUAACAGUUUUCAGAAGAAAAGUAUAUUGAGGCAUGGUGGAUUUAGAUGUCCAUGCCUGUGUAUGUUUUCUCCUUUGACCAAUUUUAAUGGGACUGCUGACCUUUCCCCCUUAAGUUUACAUUUUAUUUUAUUUGCUCUUUAGUAAGAAUCAAAUGUUAAUUUGGCUCUCCAGAGGACAUAAACUGACACUUUGUACAUGUUUAGUGUUAAUACAUGUUUAUUAUUACUACUUCUUAUUUAAGUUAUUUUUGAAAGGGGACUGUUAAAUAUGUUCAAUCAGGUCGAUGGCCAAGACUGGUUCUCGCUUAAGUGAAGCUAUCUCAUAUCAGGUGUUUGUACAGACGAUUAGCACCCUUGGGAAAGGAGGGAAGUUGACGUUCUCUCAAACACUACAAUGCAGGAACAAAUUCAGGCGUCCGUCUACAUGGAGUUUCUCAUGCAUUCAAGUACCGCCAAGUUCAUUGGUAUUGUGCAACAUUGUUGUUGUUUUUUUCUUUGUUUUUUUGAGUGGGACAGCCUCGUGUUUGAAAACAACUUUGGAAGUUGUAGCAUUCUUUUUUUGUCAUUUUAACAAAAACUUGAAUUACUGAAAUGUGAGAGAUGGGGUUGGUUUGUUGGGUUGGGAGUUAAACAUUUGGAAGACUAAACUUUCUGCCAAACCUGACAUAGUAUCUAACAGAUUAGUACUAAUCAUAAGUACAAGCCAAAUCAAUCUUUUUAUAUUUUUUCCGCUUUUUGCUAAAAUAAUGUAAGUUAGACUUAGUUGCUACUAAUAUGUAAAUGAAGAGUUACCCCGACCAUAUGUGAAAAAAGCAAAUUGAUCACUUGCAACUGCAGGAAGUUAAAGAGGACUUUCUCAGAAGCAGAAGAGCAAAUAUAUUGUUUAUUUUAAUGUACACUGGUUUCAUUACUUUUACUACUGUGUUUUAAAAGGAACUAUUCUCUGAAUGUUGCCGGUGACUGUGGGUUUGUGUAGCGUUUGUGGGCAGACCCACACAGUCUCCCUCCCAGACAACCCUCAAAAAAAGCCUUAAGUAUUUGGUCCUGGGACUUGAAAACAAGCAUGUAUUGAUGGAAAGUGAUGGCAAAUUGACAGCAUACGUUUCCUUCAGUUAAUAAUUCAUUAGAAGUACAAUGAUUUCUUAAGUGACACGGAAAUAAAUGAGUGGUAUUUUAUUGUAAUUACGUUUUAUACUGUAGAGGUCUGUGUAGUCAUGGGCUGUAACAAAUGUCAAGAUCUCAAAGCUUAUUUUUAUUUCCUUUGCAUUUUCAGACUUUACUCUUUAAUUUGUUAUUUAACAUGAUUAUAGUCUUAAUUUGCUUUUGCAGACAAAAAUAGGGCAGUGACUUAUUUUUGAUAUUUCAAGGUUGGAGCACAUUAGAUAUGAAGUGGAAUACAGAUGGAAUAUUCAAACCUUACUCAAUUGAAUUAAAAAUGCACAAGUACAUAUUUUUUUUUUUUUUGAGCAAAAACCUGGACACAAAUCUUUAUUGAAACAUGGGUUUUAUCUCAUUGCUCCCCGUGUCCCUCUUCUUUCUUUUUUUUUUUUGCCCUUUUGUUGCCUCCAAUGUGCCUUGCCCCAUAGACUGUGGUCGUAUGGCAAACAAGUCGAGUCUAGGAUCUGUGCCACCUUUUUACUCCCAACACUGCUGUGACAAAAAAAAAAAAUAAAUUUAAAAUGUAUGUUCUUCAGGGCAGUCCUAGAAAGAUGUGACAUUUAGGUAACAUGUUACCAGGAUGAACGUCAUUCCUUGAAGUGUACAAGUGGGGUGUGAGAUGGUCAACUGGAAUGGAACAGGUUCUGACCAGUUUCUGUAAGUUUAGUUCACCAGGCUUAAAACCCAUUAAUUUUAGAGGAGUUCCCCUUUAUGCUCCGACCUGCCCCUUAAACCUCAAGCGUGUGUCAUUUCCCCCGGUUUUAAUGAAGACUUCUCACAGCCUGAACGGGAGGGGGAAUAAAGCUUGCUUAUUGCAUUUGUUUCUGUUAAUCAUGUGAUGUUGCCUCCACUGGAUUCAGUCAUGGAAAUAAUGUGUGUUGUGUGUUUGGCACUCACACACACACACACACACACACACACACACACACACACACACACACAUAUUGCAAUGUUCAUAGUGGGAGGAGGCUAGUAUACUUGACUACUGAUACUGUGUUCCUUAACAGAAUUCCUAAUGUGUUACGGGUAACAAAUAAAAUAUUUAAAUUGGUGUAAGCUGUGUUCACAAGUGACAGGUGUUUUUGUCCCCCUGAGCCUGGCGAUAGAGGUGAGGUUUGGUGGAUGUUUCAGAGCUGGGGUCCUCUUCCCCCUGAGACUGGCGAUAGAGGUGAGGUUUCAGAGCUGGGGUCCUCUUCCCCCUGAGACUGGCGAUAGAGGUGAGGUUUCAGAGCUGGGAUCCUCUUCCCCCUGAGACUGGCGAUAGAGGUGAGGUUUCAGAGCUGGGUUCCUCAGGGAUUACGCUGACAUGACUGUGGCCAGAGUGCCUGAGUACAUUAAUUUCUGAGGAAUUCUGUGAAGCACAUUUCUUUUUCUCCCCCCUCCCCCCCCCCAAAAAAAAAGCCUGUCAGUCAUACCUUUUCAGCUUGUAUGACCUUUAAAAAAAUGAAAUAAAAUGGCCGCCGGGUGAGCUUGCUGUCUGGUUUGUCCAGUGUGCAGGGCAUUGUCAGGCGGCGCCCUGCCUCCCUCUGCAGAAUUCUCUGAAAUGUUAUCUAGGGUGGGGGUAUAACAUUCUCCGUCGUGUAGUUCUUUUCUUUUUUCUUUUUUCCUCCUCCCUUGUUCUCCUGUUUUUGAGAGGCAUUGUGUGUUGCACAAACAUUCCCUUCUAACCAAAAUAAAGUAUGACUUGCAUUUGUACAACUCUUGUUA